Molecule: long non-coding RNA, 2212 nt
Filed under: Salmo salar (Atlantic salmon)
Lineage: Eukaryota; Metazoa; Chordata; Actinopteri; Salmoniformes; Salmonidae
Description: lncRNA (ENSSSAG00000112038.1)
Source: RNAcentral
CUCGAUAUGUCCGAUUUUAAAAUAGCUUUUCGGUGAAAGCACAUUUUGCAAUAUUCUGAGUAGAUAGCCCGGCAUCACAGGGCUAGCUAUUUAGACACCCAGCAAGUUUAGCACUCACCAAAGUCAGAUUUACUAUAAGAAAAAUGUUAUUACCUUUGGUGUUCUUCGUCAGAAUGCACUCCCAGGACACUAUCCAAAUAGUGGCGUUUUGUUCGUGCGUUCAAUACACUAUCCGAAAGGGUAAAUAAGGGUUACGCGCACGACGCAUUUCGUGACAAAAAAAUUCGAAAUAUUCCAUUACCGUACUUCGAAGCAUGUCAACCGAUGUUUAAAAUCAAUUUUUAUGCCAUUUUUCUCGUAAAAAAGCGAUAAUAUUCCGACCGGGAAUCUGUGUUUAGGUUCAGAGACGAACGAAAAUAAAAACAUGUGGUCGACUCAUGCACGCGCCUAAGCCCAUUGUCCUCUGAUAGAGCACUUGCCAAAAGCGCUAAUGUGUUUCAGCCUGGGGCUGGAAUUACAUCAUUCAGCAUUUUCCCGCCUUCUGAGAGCCUAUGGGAGCCGUAGGAAGUGUCACGUUACAGCAAAGAUCCUCAGUCUUCAAUAAACAGAGUCAAGAAGCUCAAGGAAUGGUCAGACAGGCCACUUCCUGUAAGGAAUCUUCUCAGGUUUUUGCCUGCCAUAUGAGUUCUGUUAUACUCACAGACACCAUUCAAACAGUUUUAGAAACUUUAGGGUGUUUUCUAUCCAAAGCCAAUAAUUAUAUGCAUAUUCUAGUUACUGGGCAGGAGUAGUAACCAGAUUAAAUCGGGUACGUUUUUUAUCCGGCCGUGCAAAUACUGCCCCCUAUCCCCAACAGGUUAAUACUGGUAGUAGUGGAGGUGGUUGUGGUGGUGAUAGUGGAGGUGGUAGUAGUGGAGGUGGUAGUAGUGGAGGUGGUAGUAGUGGUGGUGGUGGUAGUAGUGGAGGUGGUAGUUGUGGUGGUGGUGGUGGUGGUAAUAGUGGAGGUGGUAGUAGUGGUGGAGGUGGUAGUAGAUGAGGUGGUAGUAGUGGUGGUGGCGGUAGUAGUGGAGGUGGUAGUAGUGGUGGUGGUGGUGGUGGUAAUAGUGGAGGUGGUAGUAGUGGAGGUGGUAGUAGUGGUGGUAGUAGUGGUGGUAGUAGUGGAGGUGGUAGUAGUGGUGAAAUCAGCUCUUUUUUUGUGGAUUUAAUACUUUUCUUUUUCGUGGUUUUCUAUGUUUUGCUCUGCCUGUCCCUCCUUUUCUGAGUUAUUGCAGACUCCUCCACUUGGCUGGUCUCCAUGGAGACUGAGUUGGCCCUGGUCUGCCAAACCUGGCCCUGAUUGAUUUAAUGACUUACCACACAGCUGAAAAAGGAUCGUUCAGCUUCAGUCUUGUCCUUUGCUUUAGGGAGAACAGCAAUGCCGAACCGCUGCUGCUGCCACUACCGUCACCGGGACCAUGUCACACCCAGCCACCGAUGAUGACCUGUAGCCAGAGGGGGGCCAAACGUUUGGUCGAGUGGUCGGAAAAACGUCUGUUCAGAACGGAUCCCUGCUCAUUGCAUGUGAAACCUGACACUUCAAGUCAGCUGACGGAGUGGUAGCAGGAGAGAGCAGACAGGCGGGGUUUUCCAGCACUAUAAGGCAUUGGACCCUACGACGUUCACAGGGCACUUUGUACACCCACAAUGUCAGUCACAACUGGGCCAGAACAGCUCAAAGUCCCCUAUAUAGGGGACUUAAACGUUUCAGUAAAGAACAUUUAAAAGAAAAAAGCUUUACAACCUUUUCUGUGUGUUGGCCUGGGAUUUGGAACGUGUUUUUUUUUUACACUUGAUGGCAGUAGACAUAUGCUUUGACAAAAUGUUUAAUGGUGGAUGCACAUCAAAGAAAAGUUCAACAAAACGGUGUCAGCUCAGCUGUCAACAGUGAAUCCAGAAGGCAUAGUACCAAUAUGAACCAGAUCAAACAGGACAGCGGGAGAUGAAUGAAUGAGGGAAUGAACUAAGGCCAGGGAGAGGUAAAUAAAUGUGGGAUGAGGUAAUGCACAAAAGGAUCAUUAUCAGGUUAAUACCAGAUUAAAUGGACAGAGAUGUAAAUACGGAGGUGAUCAGGAGCCGAUCAAUAUCUUCAUGCUUCCCUCCAGGACUAGCUUCCCUCCAGGACUAGCUUCCCUCCAGGACUAGUUUCCCUCCAGGACUAGUUUCCUUCCAGGAC